This 78-nucleotide non-coding RNA is filed under the name Candidatus Omnitrophota bacterium. Its description in RNAcentral is "Omnitrophica WOR c-di-GMP sequence". It matches the Rfam family "c-di-GMP-I riboswitch aptamer". From Rfam's summary of the family: GEMM was predicted in a large-scale screen for bacterial structured RNA regulatory elements. Genes associated with GEMM are involved in a diverse array of functions, including chemotaxis regulation, signal transduction, secretion and chitin. The record is from RNAcentral. Lineage: Bacteria; Pseudomonadati; Candidatus Omnitrophota.
AUACGAAAAGGCAAACUCAGGGUAACCUGAGGGCGCAAAGCAGUGCAUCCCGAUCGCGGGACAGGCAAGCUACCGAAA